UGCCCCGUCUGACACACAAAGGAAACGUGUGUGGAAUGAGGAGACGGAUGGAUGGCCGAACAUGGCAGAUCAGCAGCAGGAGGGACUCAAACGCCAAUCAACCCGGCAGUGCACACCCUCGGCCUCUCUGCUAUUCGUAGAUGUUUGUGGGCCAGGAGCCAGGGGCAGGUGUAGGCCAAGGUUGCUGACUUCUCUUCUUUCCAUUCAAACACAACACACAUUUCCUGGGGACUUUGUAUGCAGAGCCCUGAGCUGAGGCUGGGUGCUGGGAGACCACAGACAGACUCUGUCCCUGCUCCGGAGGUGCCCAGAAGGUUCUGUGAACCAGGAUACAGCCGCCAAGAAGCAAGGUGUGCCUCUUCCAAAGGCGACCAAGAGGGGCCUAGAAGUGGCUCUGAGCCAACCUGACAGGAAAGUUGGCAGGUGAGGAAGGGGUUCAGAGACCUGGCGGAUAAGUAAAUUAACAGUAGCAAGAGAGGCCAGGCCAGUGGUGACUGGGAUUCAAAUUAAAACAAGAUCGAUUAAAUAAUGAUUGAGGGCCAGGUG
RNAcentral lists this long non-coding RNA (546 nucleotides) under Homo sapiens (human). Its description in RNAcentral is "HSALNT0398784". Lineage: Eukaryota; Metazoa; Chordata; Mammalia; Primates; Hominidae. The record is from RNAcentral.